Long non-coding RNA from Corythoichthys intestinalis (scribbled pipefish), 913 nucleotides. RefSeq lists it as uncharacterized. NCBI's taxonomy places the organism in Eukaryota, Metazoa, Chordata, Actinopteri, Syngnathiformes, Syngnathidae. The transcript has 4 exons. The record is from RefSeq and is a predicted model, not a curated record.
GUCACUUGGUAAACAAACAAAAUGGCGGUUCCCGCCAGCAAUAGCUAGCAUAACCAUGGUAACCAAAUUGUUUAAUUUGGUAGAAUGCCGUGAAAAGACUGAUGGCAACUUUAACCAUUUGAGUGUUCAUCACCACAACCAUUUGAUGUCCAGCUUGCUGAUCAGUGACGGCCUGUUGAAAUCAGUGACAUGGACUCUGGCCUAGUUCCACCCAGACGUUCGUGGGUGGAUGAUCGUGUUUAUGUGUGGGCAGGUUUACGAGUGUACCUUUCACAUUCACUCCAUAUAUCUCGCUGGGCUCGACGGCCUCUGUGACGUCGAUGAUGGAGGCGAUGUGGAAGACUAGUGUGGCUCCCCGACACGCCUUCCUCACAAAGUCGGCGUCUCGAAUGUCGCCCUCAAACACUGCUUUGCAGCACCUCCUUUUUGACGUUUAUGUCGAGGAGCCGAACCUCGCCGAUGUUUUUCUCCUGCUCAAGCAGCAUCUUGAUCAGCGUCUUUCCCAGGAAACCGCAUGCUCCUGUCACCACGCAUACCUCGCCAUCCAGGGAUGACAUCGCAGAUCCUCCGCAGCGCAGAAAAAUAAGAAAGAAGGAAAAGAAGAAGCGGGACUAGAAGUGAGUGAGCUGGCUGCCGUUUCUUCUUUUUUAUGGACAAGGAUUCUUCCAAGAGGGGAGGGGCCAAGCAACCAGUGGGAAAAAAAAAUCAUGAACAUAUUCAUGUGUACUUCUAACACACACCCUAAUUUCAAACUAAAACCCUGACCUGAAACCCUAUUUUGGAAUCCUAACCAUUGUUUAACCCCUUGAUGCCUGUAUUUACAUUAUGAUGUAGAUAUUGUACAUAUACUGUAUGUAUAGUGACAAUUACAUUGAAAAAUACAACAAAAAAUGGGAAAAUCUUGAAUCUUGAA